UACGGGGGGGGCAAGCUUUGUUCGGAAUUACUGGGCGUAAAGGGCUCGUAGGCGGCCAACUAAGUCGGAUGUGAAAUCCCCAGGCUCAACCUGGGAACUGCAUCCGAUACUGGAUGGCUUGAAUUCGGGAGAGGGAUGCAGAAUUCCAGGUGUAGCGGUGAAAUGCGUAGAUAUCUGGAGGAAUACCGGUGGCGAAGGCGGCAUCCUGGACCGACAUUGACGCUGAUGAGCGAAAGCUAGGGGAGCAAACGGG
RNAcentral lists this ribosomal RNA (253 nucleotides) under uncultured bacterium. RNAcentral describes it as "partial 16S ribosomal RNA". It matches the Rfam family "Bacterial small subunit ribosomal RNA", at positions 524 to 776 of the family's 1533-position model. The record is from RNAcentral.